UGGGGAAUAUUGCGCAAUGGGGGAAACCCUGACGCAGCGACGCCGCGUGCGGGAUGAAGGCCUUCGGGUUGUAAACCGCUUUUGAUUGGGAGCAAGCUUUCGGGUGAGUGUACCUUUCGAAUAAGCGCCGGCUAACUACGUGCCAGCAGCCGCGGUAAUACGUAGGGCGCAAGCGUUAUCCGGAAUUAUUGGGCGUAAAGAGCUUGUAGGCGGUUCGUCGCGUCUGGUGUGAAAGCCCAUCGCUUAACGGUGGGUUUGCGCCGGGUACGGGCGGGCUAGAGUGCAGUAGGGGAGACUGGAAUUCCAUGUGUAGCGGUGAAAUGCGUAGAUAUAUGGAGGAACACCGGUGGCGAAAGCGGCUCUCUGGUCUGUAACUGACGCUGAGGCUCGAAAGCGUGGGUAGCAAACAGG
This 411-nucleotide ribosomal RNA is filed under the name Bacteroidota bacterium. Its description in RNAcentral is "Bacteroidetes bacterium partial 16S ribosomal RNA". It matches the Rfam family "Bacterial small subunit ribosomal RNA", at positions 355 to 776 of the family's 1533-position model. The record is from RNAcentral. Lineage: Bacteria; Pseudomonadati; Bacteroidota.